UGCAGUCGAACGAGCUUCCGUUGAAUGACGUGCUUGCACUGAUUUCAACAAUGAAGCGAGUGGCGAACUGGUGAGUAACACGUGGGGAAUCUGCCCAGAAGCAGGGGAUAACACUUGGAAACAGGUGCUAAUACCGUAUAACAACAAAAUCCGCAUGGAUUUUGUUUGAAAGGUGGCUUCGGCUAUCACUUCUGGAUGAUCCCGCGGCGUAUUAGUUAGUUGGUGAGGUAAAGGCCCACCAAGACGAUGAUACGUAGCCGACCUGAGAGGGUAAUCGGCCACAUUGGGACUGAGACACGGCCCAAACUCCUACGGGAGGCAGCAGUAGGGAAUCUUCCACAAUGGACGAAAGUCUGAUGGAGCAAUGCCGCGUGAGUGAAGAAGGGUUUCGGCUCGUAAAACUCUGUUGUUAAAGAAGAACACCUUUGAGAGUAACUGUUCAAGGGUUGACGGUAUUUAACCAGAAAGCCACGGCUAACUACGUGCCAGCAGCCGCGGUAAUACGUAGGUGGCAAGCGUUGUCCGGAUUUAUUGGGCGUAAAGCGAGCGCAGGCGGUUUUUUAAGUCUGAUGUGAAAGCCUUCGGCUUAACCGGAGAAGUGCAUCGGAAACUGGGAGACUUGAGUGCAGAAGAGGACAGUGGAACUCCAUGUGUAGCGGUGGAAUGCGUAGAUAUAUGGAAGAACACCAGUGGCGAAGGCGGCUGUCUAGUCUGUAACUGACGCUGAGGCUCGAAAGCAUGGGUAGCGAACAGGAUUAGAUACCCUGGUAGUCCAUGCCGUAAACGAUGAGUGCUAAGUGUUGGAGGGUUUCCGCCCUUCAGUGCUGCAGCUAACGCAUUAAGCACUCCGCCUGGG
RNAcentral lists this ribosomal RNA (856 nucleotides) under Lactobacillus sp. 14.2.12. RNAcentral's name for it is "bacterial SSU rRNA". It matches the Rfam family "Bacterial small subunit ribosomal RNA", at positions 56 to 877 of the family's 1533-position model. Lineage: Bacteria; Bacillati; Bacillota; Bacilli; Lactobacillales; Lactobacillaceae. The record is from RNAcentral.